AGCAGUGAGGAAUUUUCCGCAAUGGGCGAAAGCCUGACGGAGCAAUGCCGCGUGAAGGAUGAAGGCCUAUGGGUUGUAAACUUCUUUUCUCAGAGAAGAAUAUUGACGGUAUCUGAGGAAUAAGCAUCGGCUAACUCUGUGCCAGCAGCCGCGGUAAGACAGAGGAUGCAAGCGUUAUCCGGAAUGAUUGGGCGUAAAGCGUCUGUAGGUGGCUUCAAAAGUCUCCUGUCAAAGAUCAGGGCUUAACCCUGGGCCGGCAGGAGAAACUCUGAGGCUAGAGUUUGGUAGGGGCAGAGGGAAUUCCCGGUGGAGCGGUGAAAUGCGUAGAGAUCGGGAGGAACACCAGUGGCGAAGGCGGC
This 359-nucleotide ribosomal RNA is filed under the name uncultured Oscillatoriophycideae cyanobacterium. RNAcentral describes it as "bacterial SSU rRNA". It matches the Rfam family "Bacterial small subunit ribosomal RNA", at positions 350 to 725 of the family's 1533-position model. The record is from RNAcentral. Lineage: Bacteria; Bacillati; Cyanobacteriota; Cyanophyceae.